AUGGGAAUUCCCCCCUUCGGGGGGCGGAAAAGGGGCUUUCCCGAAGGGGACACCGGGCGGCCGGACGGGGCCGGGGUCGGGGUCGGGCCUGGGCCUCGGGACCGGUUGGGAGCUGCAGCCGAGGGAGGCGGUGAGUGCCCAUCGCGCCGGGCCCAAGGGCUUCCCGUCUCCCGGGGGGGGAGGGGGCGGGACCCCCCACUCGGGCCCGGGGCCGCGCCCUCGCCCACGGGCAGCCCGGCCCAGACGGGCAGGGGCACCCGCACAGACACGCGGGGCGGGGGGCGCCCACGCACCCCCCCGGGCCCUUGGACGUCCGCGGGGCUCCGGCCGGCUCCACGCAGUCAGGCGAGCAGGUGCCUAAGCGGUCACCCGGACGCGGACGCCAAUGACACGAAUAUGCAGAGCCGGGCACACACCGCCCGGGAGGAAGCAGAGGGCGGGCCUGACGGAGGUCCCGAGGGCCAGGACCCGGGGCCGGGGAGCCAGACGGGUGGGCAGGGGGGCGAGGAGGAGUCGCCCCGGGGCCUGGGCGCCUCCACCCCGGGAAACUCCGGGGCCCGGAGAUCCGGGCGGCGACCCCGAGGGAGGAGAGCCCCGGGCUCAAGGAAUCCACCCUCAAAAACCCCAACCCGGGGGACUCGGCCUCCGGCUUCUGGAGAAAACCCCAGGGUUUCCGCAGGCCCGGCAUCUCGGGGCGGAGGACCGACAGGCCGGGUGGGGGGUGGGCGGGGGGACAGGGGGAGGAGAGGACUGCCCGCCCCGGCUGCCCCCGCCUCACGUUUGGCUCGCCCAGCCCACCACCAAGAAGCGGGAAGCCCUGGGCCCCGGGAUCCGGGCCGGGCCCAACCCCACCCCGUCCACUUUCCUAACCCCGGCGACCCUAACAAGGGCGCUAGGGAGGGUGGCCCGCGACGCGCUCGCUGUGGGCUCGAUCAAAGAGACACGGGUCGAAGGCGGGCCCCAAGAGGGAGGGGGAAUGGCCACUCGCUCCCCACUCCACGGAGGAGGCAGGGAGGCCCGGAGGGAUGGGGCGGCCCGUCCCGAGGUCAGCCGGCGGGCAAGCGGCACAGCCGGGCCGAGAGCCUCCCCCCUCCCUCCCCGGCCCGCUUGCCCUCGGCCCCGGGAAUUGCCGUGGGGGGGGAUCGUCAGGGGGAAGGGAGGGGAGGGGAGGGGGUUUCCAGCGGGCAAGAUCCCCCAGGAUGCUGA
RNAcentral lists this long non-coding RNA (1206 nucleotides) under Ornithorhynchus anatinus (platypus). RNAcentral's name for it is "lncRNA (ENSOANG00000038066.1)". Lineage: Eukaryota; Metazoa; Chordata; Mammalia; Monotremata; Ornithorhynchidae. The record is from RNAcentral.